Long non-coding RNA from Benincasa hispida (wax gourd), 1262 nucleotides. RefSeq lists it as uncharacterized. Lineage: Eukaryota; Viridiplantae; Streptophyta; Magnoliopsida; Cucurbitales; Cucurbitaceae. The record is from RefSeq and is a predicted model, not a curated record.
ACUAUCAAUUUAGAAAUUCCCUACCCCAUAAAAGGGGUAAUCACAUUACUUAUUAGUGUUUGAGAUUGCUCAAGGAGUUGUUCGUGAUGAAGACCGUUUGGAGAUCCAUUCGUUGGAACCUUAGAGAGGAUUGUUUGUGGCACUUGGGGAACCUGCAAAGGUAAGAAUCGUUCUAACCUUUUCCCCAAUAGCAUGCUAGUUUAUGUGUAUAUCUAUUUCCUCUAGUACAACGAUUUUAUUUAAUAUAAAAAUCGAUUUGCGAGAUACAAGGUAUUCUAAUACAAUGCUUCCGCUGCGGGAUUUGAUCCCUUCAAUUGGUAUCAGAGCCAAUUCCUUGCAUCUUCGUUCUGCGUGUUUUUCGAAACAAAAUCAUCUAGAAGUGGAUUUUUUCAUAUUCUACAUCAUGAAUGUUUAAAAGUUGGUUUUCAAAAUUGGAUGUUUUUUUUUUGCUCUAGAUUACUUUUUAAUUUGAUUAAAUUUGUAAGGGCCCGUUGUAUUUUUAUGCAAUUUAAUUCAUGCUUCGAGUCUGUAAGUCUGUUUCGAUCGAUAGAGCAAUAGUUGCUGAAGAGAUUGAGAUCAAAAGAAGGUGUUCGGGGCAAGUUUAGAGUCGAAAACGAGGAGGACAACAACAAUCUGCCACUCAGUGUUGCGAUGCUGCUAUCAUUUAGGGACAAGACCAAGUAGAAGCUAGGAACAUAACUACACAAGAUAGAAUUCGCUCAUUCUCAUCUUGAAGGUAAAAUGGUCCCCGAGGCAUUUAGGAAUUAUUACAAGAAAAUCGGGCCAAAAAGAUUAAAAAAAAUGACCAAGAAAAUCAACAAAUUGAAGAGAAUCAAGUAAUUACCCAGAAUGCUAUCGAGUAAGGUUGUUGAGCUAUCGAGCAUCGAGUAUUUAACAGAAUACUAUCGUGUAUAAUCGAAUAAGGACUGUCGAGUAAUCAGCUAUCGAGCCAUCAAGUAUCAUCAAAUAUCAUCGAGUAUUCAAGUAUCGAGUCAUCAAGUUCCUUCUUAUUCAUUUUUCAUUGAGUAAAAUCUAUCAAGUAAAGGACAUCCAGCAUCGUGCAUCAAGUAUUGCAUUAUUGUGCAUCGAGGAUCGAGUAUGAAACAGAAAACUCACUUUUUGAACUAUAGAAAACUCAAUGCGUUCAUUCUUUUUUCCGGAUCUUGACGCCAUUCAUCCUCGCGCCUCACGAUGUUAUGUUGCUGGUAUAAAUAAGUUCAGUUUUUCAACAAAACAGAGACCAGAUUUCAUUUGUCAAAAAA